UCUCCGUAGGUGAACCCGCGGAGGGAUCAUUACUGAGUGAGGGCCUCUGGCCCGACCUCCAACCCUUUGAUGUCCGACUCUGUUGCCUCGGGGGCGACCCGGCCUUCGGGCCCGGGGCCCCCCGUGGUCCACUCAACUCUGCAUCUUUGCGUCUGAGUAAACAUUAAAUGAAACAAAACUUUCAACAACGGAUCUCUUGGUUCUG
RNAcentral lists this unclassified non-coding RNA (205 nucleotides) under plant metagenome. RNAcentral's name for it is "partial contains small subunit ribosomal RNA, internal transcribed spacer 1, and 5.8S ribosomal RNA". The record is from RNAcentral.